GAUGAACGCUAGCGGCAGGCCUAAUACAUGCAAGUCGAGGGGCAGCAGGAAUAGCAAUAUUCGCUGGCGACCGGCGCACGGGUGCGUAACACGUAUACAAUCUGCCUUUAACAGGGGGAUAGCCCGGAGAAAUCCGGGUUAAUACCCCAUAACAGUGAUCUUGGCAUCAAGGACACUUAAAAGCUCCGGCGGUUAAAGAUGAGUAUGCGCCUGAUUAGCUAGCUGGUGAGGUAACGGCUCACCAAGGCGACGAUCAGUAGGGGAUCUGAGAGGAUUAACCCCCACACGGAUACUGAGACACGGAUCCGACUCCUACGGGAGGCAGCAGUAAGGAAUAUUGGACAAUGCCCGCAAGGGUGAUCCAGCCAUGCCGCGUGCAGGAAGACGGCCCUAUGGGUUGUAAACUGCUUUUACACCGGAGAAAACCCCACUACGUGUAGUGGGCUGAUAGUAUGGUGAGAAUAAGCAUCGGCUAACUUCGUGCCAGCCGCCGCAGUAA
RNAcentral lists this ribosomal RNA (499 nucleotides) under uncultured bacterium. Its description in RNAcentral is "partial 16S ribosomal RNA". It matches the Rfam family "Bacterial small subunit ribosomal RNA", at positions 28 to 523 of the family's 1533-position model. The record is from RNAcentral.